UACGGAGGGGGCUAGCGUUGUUCGGAAUUACUGGGCGUAAAGCGCGCGUAGGCGGACCUGCAAGUCGGGGGUGAAAGCCCGAGGCUCAACCUCGGAACUGCCUUCGAUACUGCGGGGCUCGAGUCCGGGAGAGGUGAGUGGAAUUCCUAGUGUAGAGGUGAAAUUCGUAGAUAUUAGGAAGAACACCAGUGGCGAAGGCGGCUCACUGGCCCGGUACUGACGCUGAGGCGCGAAAGCGUGGGGAGCAAACAGG
This 253-nucleotide ribosomal RNA is filed under the name uncultured bacterium. RNAcentral describes it as "partial 16S ribosomal RNA". It matches the Rfam family "Bacterial small subunit ribosomal RNA", at positions 524 to 776 of the family's 1533-position model. The record is from RNAcentral.